RNAcentral lists this ribosomal RNA (539 nucleotides) under uncultured bacterium. RNAcentral's name for it is "partial 16S ribosomal RNA". It matches the Rfam family "Bacterial small subunit ribosomal RNA", at positions 355 to 887 of the family's 1533-position model. The record is from RNAcentral.
UGGGGAAUUUUGGACAAUGGGCGAAAGCCUGAUCCAGCAAUGCCGCGUGUGUGAAGAAGGCCUUCGGGUUGUAAAGCACUUUUGUCCGGAAAGAAAUCCUUGGCUCUAAUACAGUCGGGGGAUGACGGUACCGGAAGAAUAAGCACCGGCUAACUACGUGCCAGCAGCCGCGGUAAUACGUAGGGUGCAAGCGUUAAUCGGAAUUACUGGGCGUAAAGCGUGCGCAGGCGGUUUGCUAAGACCGAUGUGAAAUCCCCGGGCUCAACCUGGGAACUGCAUUGGUGACUGGCAGGCUAGAGUAUGGCAGAGGGGGGUAGAAUUCCACGUGUAGCAGUGAAAUGCGUAGAGAUGUGGAGGAAUACCGAUGGCGAAGGCAGCCCCCUGGGCCAAUACUGACGCUCAUGCACGAAAGCGUGGGGAGCAAACAGGAUUAGAUACCCUGGUAAUCCACGCCCUAAACGAUGUCAACUAGUUGUUGGGGAUUCAUUCCUUAGUAACGUGAGCUAACGCGUGAAGUUGACCGCCUGGGGAGUACGGUC